GAUCCGGGCUCAGGACGAACGCUGGCGGCGCGCCUAACACAUGCAAGUCGAACGGAGCUAUAUUGAAAGCUUGCUGGAUAUAUAGCUUAGUGGCGGACGGGUGAGUAACACGUGAGCAACCUGCCUUUCAGAGUGGAAUAACGUUUGGAAACGAACGCUAAUACCGCAUAACGUCAGAGGACGGCAUCGUUCUUUGACCAAAGAUUUAUCGCUGAAAGAUGGGCUCGCGGCCGAUUAGGUAGUUGG
Molecule: ribosomal RNA, 246 nt
Filed under: uncultured bacterium
Lineage: Bacteria
Description: partial 16S ribosomal RNA
Rfam family: Bacterial small subunit ribosomal RNA
Source: RNAcentral